This 433-nucleotide ribosomal RNA is filed under the name uncultured bacterium. Its description in RNAcentral is "partial 16S ribosomal RNA". It matches the Rfam family "Bacterial small subunit ribosomal RNA", at positions 29 to 507 of the family's 1533-position model. The record is from RNAcentral.
AACGAACGCUGGCGGCAUGCCUAACACAUGCAAGUCGAACGACACCUUCGUGUCUACUUGCGCACGCGUGCGUAACGCGUCGGAACCUGCCCUUAGGUUUGGAAUUACUCCUCUUAAGGGGUGCUAAUACCGGAUAAUUUCUUCGGACCACAGAUUCAUCGACUUUGGAUGGGCCCGCGUUGGUUUAGCUAGUUGGUAGGGUAAAAGCCUAUCAAGGCGAGGAUAGAUAGCUGGUAUGAGAGGAAGAUCAGCCACACUGAGUGUGAGAAACGGCCCAGAAUACUAGAGAAGGGAGCAGAGGGGAAUAUUGGAAAAUGGGCGAAAGGAAGAACGAGCAAGGGCGGGUAAGAGAUGAAGGCGUUAGGGUAGUAAAGCACUUUUACCUGGGAUGAUAAUGGCAGUACCGGGAGAAUAAGCACCGGCUAACUCCGUG